AAAAGGUAUCAAGGGCACACGGUGGAUGCCUUGGCGCCUGCAGCCGACGAAGGACGCGGCAAGCUGCGAAAAGCUCCGGCGAGACGCAAGCGGUCAUCGACCCGGAGAUCUCCGAAUGGGGCAACCCGUCCGGCUAUGGCCGGACACCCCGCUUUAUUGCGGGGGGGAACCGGGCGAAGUGAAACAUCUCAGUAGCCCGAGGAGCAGAAAUCGAAGAGAUUCCCCCAGUAGUGGUGAGCGAACAGGGAACAGCCUAAACCGAUCCGAUGCCAAGACUGCGGUCGUUGUCGGACUCGGGGUUGCGGGAUCGUCCGUUGUACCGCCGCAGCGGUGCAUGCAAGUGAUAAACCGAACACACAGCCGAAUCGUAUUGGGAAAGCGAGCCGUCGAGGGUGAAAGCCCCGUAGGCGAAGUCUGUUCGGCUUGCAGCGACGACACCCGAGUAGGCCGGAGCACGUGGAAUUCCGGUUGAACCAGGGCCGACCAUGGUCCAAGGCUAAAUACUGCAGGCGACCGAUAGUGGAUCAGUACCGAGAGGGAAAGGUGAAAAGCACCCCUGGCGGGGAGUGAAACAGACCUGAACCCGUGUGCCUACAAGCAAUCGGAGCGCUAGUGCGUCUGCGAAGUCGCACAGCGUGACGGUGUGCCUUUUGCAAAAUGAGCCGGCGAGUCAUCAUUGGUAGCGAGGUUAAGAUCCUUACAAGGAUUGCAGCCGCAGGGAAACCGAGUCUUAACAGGGCGUCUUAGUUUCCAGUGAUGAACCCGAAGCCGCACGAUCUAUCCAUGGGCAGGUUGAAGCCUCGGUGAAACGGGGUGGAGGACCGAACCGCAGCCUGUUGAAAAAGUCUCGGAUGACCUGUGGAUAGGAGUGAAAAGCUAAUCGAGUGCGGUAAUAGCUGGUUCUCCCCGAAACGCAUUUAGGUGCGGCCUUUGGAGUGACUUGCGGGGGUAGAGCACUGGAUGGACGCGGGGGACUGGGGUCCUACCAACUUCAACCAAACUUCGAAUACCGUUUAGUUUAAUCCAGGGAGAGAGACCGCGUGAGAGAAGUUUCGCGGUCGAGAGGGAAAGAGCCCUGACCGUCGGCUAAGGCCCCCAAGAUAUGCUCAGUGUGGCAAGGAUGUGGAAAUGCCCGGACAGCCAGCAGGUUGGCUUAGAAGCAGCCACCCUUUAAAGAGUGCGUAACAGCUCACUGGUCGAGGAUUUCCGCGCCGAAAAUACAGGGGGCUAAGCAUAUCGCCGAAGCCGCGGAAUCGUGCGUGUUUGUGCGUAUGAUUGGUAGGGGAGCGUUCCUCCGGGGGUGAAGCGACAGCCGCGAGGCGUCGUGGACCCUGAGGAAGUGAGAAUGCCGGCAUGAGUAGCGCAAAGUGUGUGAGAAACACACUCACCGUAAGCCCAAGGAUUCCUGGGGAAGGUUCGUCCGCCCAGGGUAAGGCGGGACCUAAGGCGAGGCCGAAGGGCGUAGCCGAUGGACAGCAGGUUGAGAUUCCUGCCCCGAUGCAUUCCGUUUGACAGAAGUGGUGACGCAGCAAGCUAGGCGGAUCCGGGCGAUGGACAUCCCGGACCAAGGGAAGUAGGCGCACCGCGCAGGCAAAUCCGCGCGGCGAGGCCGAGGCCCGACGGGGAGCCUUCGUAAUGAAGGCGAAGCCGCUGACGCUCCACUGCCUGGAAAAGCCGCUAUGGAGGCAUGCAUCGCCCGUACCGCAAACCGACACAGGUGGGCUGGCUUAGGAGGCCAAGGUGAGCGGGAUAACUCUCGUUAAGGAACUCUGCAAGUUGACCCCGUAACUUUGGGAGAAGGGGUGCCGCCCGCGUCAACCCGCUAGCCGGGUGCAGCGUGGUGCGGCCGCAGAAACCAGGCUCAGGCGACUGUUUACUAAAAACACAGGUCUCUGCACAAGGCGCAAGCCGAAGUAUAGGGACUGACACCUGCCCGGUGCCGGAAGGUUAAAUGGAUGGGUUAGCGCUAUUGCAGUGCGAAGCCUUGAAAUGAAGCCCCGGUAAACGGCGGCCGUAACUAUAACGGUCCUAAGGUAGCGAAAUUCCUUGUCGGGUAAGUUCCGACCCGCACGAAUGGUGUAACGAUCUG
RNAcentral lists this ribosomal RNA (2089 nucleotides) under anaerobic digester metagenome. RNAcentral describes it as "bacterial LSU rRNA". It matches the Rfam family "Bacterial large subunit ribosomal RNA", at positions 1 to 2011 of the family's 2925-position model. The record is from RNAcentral.